AGGUAAGCUACUAAGAGCGAAUGGUGGAUGCCUUGACUGGUAAAGGCGAUGAAGGACGUACUAGACUGCGAUAAGCUACGGGGAGCUGUCAAGAAGCUUUGAUCCGUAGAUUUCCGAAUGGGGCAACCCAAUGUAUAGAGAUAUACAUUACCUAUAUAGGAGCGAACGAGGGGAAUUGAAACAUCUUAGUACCCUCAGGAAAAGAAAUCAAUAGAGAUUGCGUCAGUAGCGGCGAGCGAAAGCGCAAGAGGGCAAACCCAGUGCUUGCACUGGGGGUUGUAGGACUGCAAUGUGCAAGAGGUGAGUUUAGCAGAACAUUCUGGAAAGUAUAGCCAUAGAGGGUGAUAGUCCCGUAUGCGAAAAACAAACCUUAGCUAGCAGUAUCCUGAGUAGGGCGGGACACGAGGAAUCCUGUCUGAAUCCGGGUCGACCACGAUCCAACCCUAAAUACUAAUACCAGAUCGAUAGUGUACAAGUACCGUGAGGGAAAGGUGAAAAGAACUGAGGUGAUCAGAGUGAAAUAGAACCUGAAACCAUUUGCUUACAAUCAUUCAGAGCCCUAUGUAGCAAUACAGGGUGAUGGACUGCCUUUUGCAUAAUGAGCCUGCGAGUUGUGGUGUCUGGCAAGGUUAAGCAAACGCGAAGCCGUAGCGAAAGCGAGUCUGAAUAGGGCGCUUAGUCAGAUGCUGCAGACCCGAAACGAAGUGAUCUAUCCAUGAGCAAGUUGAAGCUAGUGUAAGAACUAGUGGAGGACUGAACCCAUAGGCGUUGAAAAGCCCCGGGAUGACUUGUGGAUAGGGGUGAAAGGCCAAUCAAACUUCGUGAUAGCUGGUUCUCUCCGAAAUAUAUUUAGGUAUAGCGUUGUGUCGUAAUAUAAGGGGGUAGAGCACUGAAUGGGCUAGGGCAUACACCAAUGUACCAAACCCUAUCAAACUCCGAAUACCUUAUAUGUAAUCACAGCAGUCAGGCGGCGAGUGAUAAAAUCCGUCGUCAAGAGGGAAACAACCCAGACUACCAGCUAAGGUCCCUAAGUCUUACUUAAGUGGAAAACGAUGUGAAGUUACUUAAACAACCAGGAGGUUGGCUUAGAAGCAGCCAUCCUUUAAAGAAAGCGUAAUAGCUCACUGGUCUAGUGAUUUUGCGCGGAAAAUAUAACGGGGCUAAAGU
This 1167-nucleotide ribosomal RNA is filed under the name Campylobacter jejuni. RNAcentral describes it as "partial 23S ribosomal RNA". It matches the Rfam family "Bacterial large subunit ribosomal RNA", at positions 1 to 1188 of the family's 2925-position model. The record is from RNAcentral. Lineage: Bacteria; Pseudomonadati; Campylobacterota; Epsilonproteobacteria; Campylobacterales; Campylobacteraceae.